UACGUAGGGUGCAAGCGUUAAUCGGAUUUACUGGGCGUAAAGCGUGCGUAGGCGGUUCAUUAAGUCGGUUGUGAAAUCCCUGGGCUUAACCUGGGAACUGCAGUCGAUACUGGUGAACUAGAAUGCGGUAGAGGGUGGCGGAACUCCGGGUGUAGCGGUGAAAUGCGUAGAUAUCCGGAAGAACACCGAUGGCGAAGGCAACCACCUGGGCCUGCAUUGACGCUGAGGUACGGAAGCGUGGGGAGCAAACAGG
Molecule: ribosomal RNA, 253 nt
Filed under: uncultured bacterium
Lineage: Bacteria
Description: partial 16S ribosomal RNA
Rfam family: Bacterial small subunit ribosomal RNA
Source: RNAcentral